Small nuclear RNA from Antechinus flavipes (yellow-footed antechinus), 107 nucleotides. NCBI's taxonomy places the organism in Eukaryota, Metazoa, Chordata, Mammalia, Dasyuromorphia, Dasyuridae. The record is from RefSeq and is a predicted model, not a curated record.
GUGCUUGCUUUGGCAGCACAUAUACUAAAAGUAGAAUGAUUUAGAGAAGAUUAGCAUGGCGCCUGCUUAAGGCUGACACACAAAUUCGUGAAAUGUCCCAUAUUUUU